CAGGCCUAACACAUGCAAGUCGAGCGGUCCCUUCGGGGGCAGCGGCGGACGGGUGAGUAACGCGUGGGAACGUGCCCUUUGGUACGGAACAACUGAGGGAAACUUCAGCUAAUACCGUAUGUGCCCUUCGGGGGAAAGAUUUAUCGCCAUUGGAGCGGCCCGCGUUGGAUUAGGUAGUUGGUGAGGUAAAGGCUCACCAAGCCUACGAUCCAUAGCUGGUCUGAGAGGAUGAUCAGCCACACUGGGACUGAGACGCGGCCCAGACUCCUACGGGAGGCAGCAGUAGGGAAUCUUGCGCAAUGGGCGAAAGCCUGACGCAGCCAUGCCGCGUGAAUGAUGAAGGUCUUAGGAUUGUAAAAUUCUUUCACCGGGGACGUAAUGACGGUACCCGGAGAAGAAGCCCCGGCUAACUUCGUGCCAGCAGCCGCGGUAAUACGAAGGGGGCUAGCGUUGCUCGGAAUUACUGGGCGUAAAGGGAGCGUAGGCGGAUAGUUUAGUCAGAGGUGAAAGCCCAGGGCUCAACCUUGGAAUUGCCUUUGAUACUGGCUAUCUUGAGUAUGGAAGAGGUAUGUGGAACUCCGAGUGUAGAGGUGAAAUUCGUAGAUAUUCGGAAGAACACCAGUGGCGAAGGCGACAUACUGGUCCAUUACUGACGCUGAGGCUCGAAAGCGUGGGGAGCAAACAGGAUUAGAUACCCUGGUAGUCCACGCCGUAAACGAUGAGUGCUAGUUGUCGGCAUGCAUGCAUGUCGGUGACGCAGCUAUCGCAUUAAGCACUCCGCCUGGGGAGUACGGUCGCAAGAUUAAAACUCAAAGGAAUUGACGG
This 825-nucleotide ribosomal RNA is filed under the name uncultured bacterium. RNAcentral's name for it is "bacterial SSU rRNA". It matches the Rfam family "Bacterial small subunit ribosomal RNA", at positions 43 to 916 of the family's 1533-position model. The record is from RNAcentral.